Molecule: ribosomal RNA, 407 nt
Filed under: uncultured microorganism
Description: bacterial SSU rRNA
Rfam family: Bacterial small subunit ribosomal RNA
Source: RNAcentral
CAGCCGCCGCGGUAAUACGUAGGGGGCGAGCGUUACCCGGAUUCACUGGGCGUAAAGGGGGUGUAGGCGGCUCGGUAAGUCGGGUGUGAAAUCCCACGGCUCAACCGUGGAAUUGCGCCCGAAACUGCCGAGCUUGGGGCCGGUAGAGGGAGACGGAACUGCCGGUGUAGGGGUGAAAUCCGUAGAUAUCGGCAGGAACGCCGGUGGGGAAGCCGGCCUCCUGGCCCGCUCCUGACGCUGAGACCCGAAAGCGUGGGGAGCAAACCGGAUUAGAUACCCGGGUAGUCCACGCCGUAAACGGUGGGCACUAGUUGUGGGGGGUUAAUCCCUCCGUGCCGAAGCUAACGCAUUAAGUGCCCCGCCUGGGGAGUACGGCCGCAAGGUUGAAACUUAAAGGAAUUGGCGGG